This 505-nucleotide long non-coding RNA is filed under the name Homo sapiens (human). RNAcentral's name for it is "HSALNT0210034". Lineage: Eukaryota; Metazoa; Chordata; Mammalia; Primates; Hominidae. The record is from RNAcentral.
AAGUAUAUCUUUGUUAUAUGAUAUAUGCUAGAAUAGAUUUUUAAUAUUUAAAGUUUUUAAAAUUUUUAUUUGCACUAAUUGUUGAAUAAUGCCUAUAUUCUUUAUAGAUUUUCUUUAUCAUCCUUUAGAAAGUACAUUCUGUAUACACACGGGCAUACAAACACACACAGUGUUCCAACACAAUCUAUCAUAUCAACUUGACUGAUACUACAUCAAUUUUUCUAUUAAUAAGCCACAUUAUUUAACUAUACAAUAUAUGUACUAAAGUACAUUCUUGUAGAACUCUUGUUUUCCACUUGUAUUUGUUAAAAUUAUCUCAUAUUGUUCUUCAUGAACUAAUAAAAGAUUUGAGGGAGAAAGAGGAUCUAUACAUUUAAAUCUUACUAUCCAAGAAUAUGAUGUGAUUUGUUCAAGUCUUCUCUUUUGUCUCUGAGUUAAGAUUUAUAAUUUUUGUCUUAUAAAUCUGUGUAUUUCUUAUUAAAUUUAAGGGAAACUCUUAAAAAUG